RNAcentral lists this ribosomal RNA (440 nucleotides) under uncultured bacterium. RNAcentral describes it as "partial 16S ribosomal RNA". It matches the Rfam family "Bacterial small subunit ribosomal RNA", at positions 338 to 795 of the family's 1533-position model. The record is from RNAcentral.
CCUACGGGCGGCAGCAGUGGGGAAUAUUGCACAAUGGGGGAAACCCUGAUGCAGCGACGCCGCGUGAAGGAAGAAGUAUUUCGGUAUGUAAACUUCUAUCAGCAGGGAAGAAAAUGACGGUACCUGACUAAGAAGCCCCGGCUAACUACGUGCCAGCAGCCGCGGUAAUACGUAGGGGGCAAGCGUUAUCCGGAUUUACUGGGUGUAAAGGGUGCGUAGGCGGUUUAGCAAGUCAGAAGUGAAAGCCCGGGGCUCAACUCCGGGACUGCUUUUGAAACUGUUGAACUAGUUUGCAGGAGAGGUAAGUGGAAUUCCUAGUGUAGCGGUGAAAUGCGUAGAUAUUAGGAGGAACACCAGUGGCGAAGGCGGCUUACUGGACUGUAAAUGACGCUGAGGCUCGAAAGCGUGGGGAGCAAACAGGAUUAGAUACCCCUGUAGUC